GAUGAACGCUGGCGGCGUGCCUAAUACAUGCAAGUCGAGCGAACAGACGAGGAGCUUGCUCCUUUGACGUUAGCGGCGGACGGGUGAGUAACACGUAGGUAACCUACCUAUAAGACUGGGAUAACUUCGGGAAACCGGAGCUAAUACCGGAUAAUAUUUCGAACCGCAUGGUUCGAUAGUGAAAGAUGGCUUUGCUAUCACUUAUAGAUGGACCUGCGCCGUAUUAGCUAGUUGGUAAGGUAACGGCUUACCAAGGCAACGAUACGUAGCCGACCUGAGAGGGUGAUCGGCCACACUGGAACUGAGACACGGUCCAGACUCCUACGGGAGGCAGCAGUAGGGAAUCUUCCGCAAUGGGCGAAAGCCUGACGGAGCAACGCCCGUGAGUGAUGAAGGUCUUCGGAUCGUAAAACUCUGUUAUUAGGGAAGAACAAACGUGUAAGUAACUGUGCACGUCUUGACGGUACCUAAUCAGAAAGCCACGGCUAACUACGUG
RNAcentral lists this ribosomal RNA (496 nucleotides) under uncultured bacterium. RNAcentral's name for it is "partial 16S ribosomal RNA". It matches the Rfam family "Bacterial small subunit ribosomal RNA", at positions 28 to 507 of the family's 1533-position model. The record is from RNAcentral.